This 134-nucleotide small nucleolar RNA is filed under the name Microtus ochrogaster (prairie vole). The record is from RNAcentral. Lineage: Eukaryota; Metazoa; Chordata; Mammalia; Rodentia; Cricetidae.
AGUGCACAUUGUUAGCGCUUGGAGUUGAGGUCACAGCCUGGUGGAUGAACUCACAAGUGUAGGUAGUAUGCUAAACGAGUGGCAAGGGUUUGCUAACAGCCCGCCCUGUCCAGGGAGAAGAGUUUGCAAGGGAU